UACGUAGGGGGCAAGCGUUGUCCGGAUUUACUGGGCGUAAAGAGCGCGCAGGCGGUCGUUCAAGUCGAGUGUGAAAGCCCCCGGCUCAACUGGGGAGGGUCAUUCGAUACUGAUCGACUGGAAGGCAGGAGAGGGAAGUGGAAUUCCCGGUGUAGUGGUGAAAUGCGUAGAUAUCGGGAGGAACACCAGUGGCGAAGGCGACUUCCUGGCCUGUUCUUGACGCUGAGGCGCGAAAGCUAGGGGAGCAAACGGG
This 253-nucleotide ribosomal RNA is filed under the name uncultured bacterium. RNAcentral describes it as "partial 16S ribosomal RNA". It matches the Rfam family "Bacterial small subunit ribosomal RNA", at positions 524 to 776 of the family's 1533-position model. The record is from RNAcentral.